This 393-nucleotide ribosomal RNA is filed under the name Cryptocercus changbaiensis. RNAcentral's name for it is "partial 12S small subunit ribosomal RNA". The record is from RNAcentral. Lineage: Eukaryota; Metazoa; Arthropoda; Insecta; Blattodea; Cryptocercidae.
UAUUAUUUUUGAUGUUAAUUAUUUAACCUGAGUAGUAAUAGAUAUGGUCUUGAAACUUAAAGAAUUUGGCAGUAUUUUAUUCUGUUCAGAGGAACCUGUUCUUUUAUCGAUAAUCCUCGUUGGACCUUACUUAAUUUAUUUGAUUUGUAUACCGCCGUUGUAUUGAGGAUCUUUAUAGUGUUUUAAUUUUCUGGUUUUUAUUUUAAGUUAUUUCAGGUCAAGGUGCAAUUUAUGAUUAAGUGGAAAUGGGUUACUUUUAUAUUUAUUUUUGGAUUUUUAGAUGAAAUUUUAAUAUGAAAUUGGAUUUGAAUGUAAUUAUUAUUUUAGAUUGUAUUGAUGAUUUAGUUUCUAGAAUGUGUACACAUCGCCCGUCGCUCUCGUUAUUUAUUCGAG